GAUGAACGCUGGCGGCGUGCCUAAUACAUGCAAGUCGAGCGAACAGAUAAGGAGCUUGCUCCUUUGACGUUAGCGGCGGACGGGUGAGUAACACGUGGGUAACCUACCUAUAAGACUGGAAUAACUCCGGGAAACCGGGGCUAAUGCCGGAUAACAUGUUGAACCGCGUGGUUCUACAGUGAAAGGCGGCUUUGCUGUCACUUAUAGAUGGACCCGCGCCGUAUUAGCUAGUUGGUGAGGUAACGGCUCACCAAGGCAACGAUACGUAGCCGACCUGAGAGGGUGAUCGGCCACACUGGAACUGAGACACGGUCCAGACUCCUACGGGAGGCAGCAGUAGGGAAUCUUCCGCAAUGGGCGAAAGCCUGACGGAGCAACGCCGCGUGAGUGAUGAAGGUCUUCGGAUCGUAAAACUCUGUUAUUAGGGAAGAACAAAUGCGUAAGUAACUGUGCGCGUCUUGACGGUACCUAAUCAGAAAGCCACGGCUAACUACGUG
RNAcentral lists this ribosomal RNA (497 nucleotides) under uncultured bacterium. Its description in RNAcentral is "partial 16S ribosomal RNA". It matches the Rfam family "Bacterial small subunit ribosomal RNA", at positions 28 to 507 of the family's 1533-position model. The record is from RNAcentral.